Molecule: long non-coding RNA, 511 nt
Filed under: Cricetulus griseus (Chinese hamster)
Lineage: Eukaryota; Metazoa; Chordata; Mammalia; Rodentia; Cricetidae
Description: lncRNA (ENSCGRG00015041273.1)
Source: RNAcentral
CCGGACAAGGCAGCCUGAUUGCUGAGGUUGGCUGAAGGCCAUACCAUCCCCUAAGAUAACUACCAUCAUCUUCCACCAACAGGGAGAGAACAAAGCAAGUCUAGAUUUGUUUUGCUGAAGGCUGGGAACUGUAAGGGAAGAAAGCUGUACAGCACACUGAUGAAGCAUACACAAGACAGAUGACAGUCUCUCUUGCCUUAGAAGACAAAAUGGAGCUGAUUACUAGUGAGGAAGACUUCUCACCCUCGUACUCCUCCAGUGGGCUGUGGUGGGGUGUUAUGUAUGCCAGGCUAGCCUCAAACUUUCCAAGAACUCGAAGAUGACCUUGAACUUCUGAUUCUACUGACUCCACCUCCUUGUUGCAGGAAGGUUUUAAACACAUUUCUUCCUUCACUUCCUUCCUUCCUUGCUUGUUCAAUGUGGAUUUACAAUCCUUGCACUUGAAUGGGUACAAAUCUGCUAACAUAUGGCCACAAGGACCCCUGCCGCCUUACUUUUUUGAACCUUGAAC